GAUGAACGCUGGCGGCGUGCCUAAUACAUGCAAGUCGAGCGAACAGACGAGGAGCUUGCUCCUUUGACGUUAGCGGCGGACGGGUGAGUAACGCGUAUCCAACCUGCCCACCACUUGGGGAUAACCUUGCGAAAGUAAGACUAAUACCCAAUGACGUCUCUAGAAGACAUCUGAAAGAGAUUAAAGAUUUAUCGGUGAUGGAUGGGGAUGCGUCUGAUUAGCUUGUUGGCGGGGUAACGGCCCACCAAGGCAACGAUCAGUAGGGGUUCUGAGAGGAAGGUCCCCCACAUUGGAACUGAGACACGGUCCAAACUCCUACGGGAGGCAGCAGUGAGGAAUAUUGGUCAAUGGACGAGAGUCUGAACCAGCCAAGUAGCGUGCAGGAUGACGGCCCUAUGGGUUGUAAACUGCUUUUAUAAGGGAAUAAAGUGAGUCUCGUGAGACUUUUUGCAUGUACCUUAUGAAUAAGGACCGGCUAAUUCCGUGCCAGCAGCCGCGGUAAAAGGG
RNAcentral lists this ribosomal RNA (507 nucleotides) under uncultured Bacteroidales bacterium. RNAcentral's name for it is "bacterial SSU rRNA". It matches the Rfam family "Bacterial small subunit ribosomal RNA", at positions 28 to 528 of the family's 1533-position model. The record is from RNAcentral. Lineage: Bacteria; Pseudomonadati; Bacteroidota; Bacteroidia; Bacteroidales.